Molecule: ribosomal RNA, 468 nt
Filed under: uncultured bacterium
Lineage: Bacteria
Description: partial 16S ribosomal RNA
Rfam family: Bacterial small subunit ribosomal RNA
Source: RNAcentral
GACGAACGCUGGCGGCGUGCUUAACACAUGCAAGUCGAACGGUGAAGCUCCAGCUUGCUGGAGUGGAUCAGUGGCGAAAGGGUGAGUAACACGUGAGCAACCUGCCCCUGACUCUGGAAUAAGCGCUGGAAACGGCGUCUAAUACUGGAUACGAGAAGGGUCCGCAUGGGCACUUUCUGGAAAGUUUUUCGGUUGGGGAUGGGCUCGCGGUCUAUCAGCUUGUUGGUGAGGUAAUGGCUCACCAAGGCGACGACGGGUAGCCGGCCUGAGAGGGCGACAGGCCACACUGGGACUGAGACACGGCCCAUACGCCUACGGGAGGCAUCAGUGGGGAAUAUUGCACGAUGGGCGAAAGCCUGAUGCAGCGACGCCGCGUGAGGGAUGACUGCCUUCGGGUUGUAAACCUCGUUCAGCAGGGAAGAAGCGAAAGUGACGGUACCUGCAGAAGAAGCACCGGCUAACUACGUG